RNAcentral lists this ribosomal RNA (468 nucleotides) under uncultured bacterium. RNAcentral's name for it is "partial 16S ribosomal RNA". It matches the Rfam family "Bacterial small subunit ribosomal RNA", at positions 28 to 507 of the family's 1533-position model. The record is from RNAcentral.
GACGAACGCUGGCGGCGUGCUUAACACAUGCAAGUCGAACGGAAAGGCCCUGCUUUUGUGGGGUGCUCGAGUGGCGAACGGGUGAGUAACACGUGAGUAACCUGCCCUUGACUUUGGGAUAACUUCAGGAAACUGGGGCUAAUACCAGAUAGGAGCGCCUGCUGCAUGGUGGGGGUUGGAAAGUUUCGGCGGUUGGGGAUGGACUCGCGGCUUAUCAGCUUGUUGGUGGGGUAGUGGCUUACCAAGGCUUUGACGGGUAGCCGGCCUGAGAGGGUGACCGGCCACAUUGGGACUGAGAUACGGCCCAGACUCCUACGGGAGGCAGCAGUGGGGAAUAUUGCACAAUGGGCGGAAGCCUGAUGCAGCAACGCCGCGUGCGGGAUGACGGCCUUCGGGUUGUAAACCGCUUUCGCCUGUGACGAAGCGUGAGUGACGGUAAUGGGUAAAGAAGCACCGGCUAACUACGUG